GUGGGGAAUAUUGGGCAAUGGGGGAAACCCUGACCCAGCGACGCCGCGUGAGGGAAGAAGGCCUUAGGGUCGUAAACCUCUGUUGUGUGGGAAGAAGAGCGUGACGGUACCACACGAGGAAGUCCCGGCUAACUACGUGCCAGCAGCCGCGGUAAUACGUAGGGGACGAGCGUUGUCCGGAUUUACUGGGCGUAAAGGGCGCGUAGGCGGUCAUUUAAGUCAGCUGUGAAAUGGUUUGGCUUAACCGGAUCAUGCGGUUGAAACUGGAUGACUGGAGUGCUGGAGAGGCAAGUGGAAUUCCCAGAGUAGCGGUGAAAUGCGUAGAUAUUGGGAAGAACACCGGUGGCGAAGGCGACUUGCUGGCCAGCAACUGACGCUGAGGCGCGAAAGCCAGGGGAGCAAACGGGAUUAGAAACCCUAGUAGUCC
This 427-nucleotide ribosomal RNA is filed under the name uncultured bacterium. RNAcentral's name for it is "partial 16S ribosomal RNA". It matches the Rfam family "Bacterial small subunit ribosomal RNA", at positions 354 to 796 of the family's 1533-position model. The record is from RNAcentral.